RNAcentral lists this unclassified non-coding RNA (408 nucleotides) under Puccinia graminicola. The record is from RNAcentral. Lineage: Eukaryota; Fungi; Basidiomycota; Pucciniomycetes; Pucciniales; Pucciniaceae.
GUCAUUUUUUUUUGAUGUUGUUUACUUCAGGGCUAGUUGGGGUAGUAGGACUUAGGCGUUCCAAAAACUAUACUGUAAAUUUUUUUUACAUGUAAAAUUUGUCCUAUAGUGGGGACUUAGAGAGAAUUUGGAAUAAUUAUACUAAAUUUUUUUUACAUGUAAAAUUUGUCCCAUAGAGUGGACUUAGAGAAAUUAUAAGGUGGAAUAAUUAUACUGUAAAUUUUUUUUACAUGUAAAAUUGGUCCUAUGGAGGGGACUUAUGGGUGCAAUAAUUAUACUGUAAAUUUUUUUUACAUGUAAAAUUUGUCAGAGCUAGUUGAUAGAGGUGUUGCAGCCAAGGACCAUAUUUUUGUGUUACACUUUCAGCUUCCCAGCUAUACCAGCUUCAACACAAGGAGAAAGUCCCCG